Molecule: long non-coding RNA, 257 nt
Organism: Sinocyclocheilus grahami
Lineage: Eukaryota; Metazoa; Chordata; Actinopteri; Cypriniformes; Cyprinidae
Exons: 4
Source: RefSeq, a predicted model, not a curated record
GCUGAGCUGGAUGAUGAAUACAAAAGAGUUUGUGCCGAGUUUCACCAUAUCAGAGAAAGUGGCACACACCAGCAAGAUUUCACAGAUGUUGCAUGACAUUCGAAAUGUUUGAUCUUCAGUGUACGUGUGUGAGGAGAACUGUUCUUCAGGACAUGAAAUGAGGAAUUGGGCGAGCCAGACAUCACUGACACAAACAUCUCUCCUGCUGAUUUUGUUAUCAUGGACAACGAAACCACUACAAGUCCUGCAAGCACUGC